Molecule: ribosomal RNA, 253 nt
Filed under: uncultured microorganism
Description: partial 16S ribosomal RNA
Rfam family: Bacterial small subunit ribosomal RNA
Source: RNAcentral
AACGUAGGGGGCGAGCGUUGUCCGGAAUUACUGGGCGUAAAGAGCUCGUAGGCGGUAGUUCAAGUCAGGUGUGAAAUCCGACGGCUUAACCGGAGGACUGCACCUGAUACUGGGCUGCUAGAGGUAAGGAGAGGAAGGUGGAAUUCCCGGUGUAGCAGUGAAAUGCGUAGAGAUCAGGAGGAACACCGAUGGCGAAGGCAGCCCCCUGGGCCUGUACUGACGCUCAUGCACGAAAGCGUGGGGAGCAAACAGG